UGGUUUCAAGGGUUUCAAUGGUUUCAAUGGUUUCAAAGGUUUCAAGGGUUUCAAGGGUUUCAAGGGUUUCAAGGGUUUCAAGGGUUUCAAUGGUUUCAAUGGUUUCAAUGGUUUCAAGGGUUUCAAUGGUUUCAAUGGUUUCAAUGGUUUCAAGGGUUUCAAGGGUUUCAAAGGUUUCAAUGGUUUCAAGGGUUUCAAAGGUUUCAAUGGUUUCAAAGGUUUCAAGGGUUUCAAGGGUUUCAAGGGUUUCAAAGGUUUCAAGGGUUUCAAGGGUUUCAAGGGUUUCAAAGGUUUCAAUGGUUUCAAGGGUUUCAAUGGUUUCAAG
This is a non-coding RNA of Paramuricea clavata, 325 nucleotides long. Lineage: Eukaryota; Metazoa; Cnidaria; Anthozoa; Malacalcyonacea; Plexauridae. The record is from the annotation of a GenBank genome assembly.